RNAcentral lists this long non-coding RNA (220 nucleotides) under Physcomitrium patens. RNAcentral describes it as "long non-coding RNA (PPAT_LNC014519)". Lineage: Eukaryota; Viridiplantae; Streptophyta; Bryopsida; Funariales; Funariaceae. The record is from RNAcentral.
UCUUGGAGUUCUAGCUCACCUUUCUGGUGUUGUUCUUGUACUCAUCUGUUUAAUCUAGUUCUGCCACUUCUUCUUGAACUUCUUGUUAGAUUUCAAGUCUGUAAUUUGUGUCCAUGACAGUUUGUCGAGACUGCACUAACUUGAGAUAUCAGAGCUAGUUCUUUCUUAGUAGAGUGUGGAUUACCCCUCUACUUGAAGGUAUGCUAGCAUUUUUUAGAGG